UUAAGCGACUAAGCGUACACGGUGGAUGCCCUGGCAGUCAGAGGCGAUGAAGGACGUGCUAAUCUGCGAUAAGCGUCGGUAAGGUGAUAUGAACCGUUAUAACCGGCGAUUUCCGAAUGGGGAAACCCAGUGUGUUUCGACACACUAUCAUUAACUGAAUCCAUAGGUUAAUGAGGCGAACCGGGGGAACUGAAACAUCUAAGUACCCCGAGGAAAAGAAAUCAACCGAGAUUCCCCCAGUAGCGGCGAGCGAACGGGGAGCAGCCCAGAGCCUGAAUCAGUGUGUGUGUUAGUGGAAGCGUCUGGAAAGGCGCGCGAUACAGGGUGACAGCCCCGUACACAAAAAUGCACAUGCUGUGAGCUCGAUGAGUAGGGCGGGACACGUGGUAUCCUGUCUGAAUAUGGGGGGACCAUCCUCCAAGGCUAAAUACUCCUGACUGACCGAUAGUGAACCAGUACCGUGAGGGAAAGGCGAAAAGAACCCCGGCGAGGGGAGUGAAAAAGAACCUGAAACCGUGUACGUACAAGCAGUGGGAGCACGCUUAGGCGUGUGACUGCGUACCUUUUGUAUAAUGGGUCAGCGACUUAUAUUCUGUAGCAAGGUUAACCGAAUAGGGGAGCCGAAGGGAAACCGAGUCUUAACUGGGCGUUAAGUUGCAGGGUAUAGACCCGAAACCCGGUGAUCUAGCCAUGGGCAGGUUGAAGGUUGGGUAACACUAACUGGAGGACCGAACCGACUAAUGUUGAAAAAUUAGCGGAUGACUUGUGGCUGGGGGUGAAAGGCCAAUCAAACCGGGAGAUAGCUGGUUCUCCCCGAAAGCUAUUUAGGUAGCGCCUCGUGAAUUCAUCUCCGGGGGUAGAGCACUGUUUCGGCAAGGGGGUCAUCCCGACUUACCAACCCGAUGCAAACUGCGAAUACCGGAGAAUGUUAUCACGGGAGACACACGGCGGGUGCUAACGUCCGUCGUGAAGAGGGAAACAACCCAGACCGCCAGCUAAGGUCCCAAAGUCAUGGUUAAGUGGGAAACGAUGUGGGAAGGCCCAGACAGCCAGGAUGUUGGCUUAGAAGCAGCCAUCAUUUAAAGAAAGCGUAAUAGCUCACUGGUCGAGUCGGCCUGCGCGGAAGAUGUAACGGGGCUAAACCAUGCACCGAAGCUGCGGCAGCGACGCUUAUGCGUUGUUGGGUAGGGGAGCGUUCUGUAAGCCUGUGAAGGUGUGCUGUGAGGCAUGCUGGAGGUAUCAGAAGUGCGAAUGCUGACAUAAGUAACGAUAAAGCGGGUGAAAAGCCCGCUCGCCGGAAGACCAAGGGUUCCUGUCCAACGUUAAUCGGGGCAGGGUGAGUCGACCCCUAAGGCGAGGCCGAAAGGCGUAGUCGAUGGGAAACAGGUUAAUAUUCCUGUACUUGGUGUUACUGCGAAGGGGGGACGGAGAAGGCUAUGUUGGCCGGGCGACGGUUGUCCCGGUUUAAGCGUGUAGGCUGGUUUUCCAGGCAAAUCCGGAAAAUCAAGGCUGAGGCGUGAUGACGAGGCACUACGGUGCUGAAGCAACAAAUGCCCUGCUUCCAGGAAAAGCCUCUAAGCAUCAGGUAACAUCAAAUCGUACCCCAAACCGACACAGGUGGUCAGGUAGAGAAUACCAAGGCGCUUGAGAGAACUCGGGUGAAGGAACUAGGCAAAAUGGUGCCGUAACUUCGGGAGAAGGCACGCUGAUAUGUAGGUGAAGCGACUUGCUCGUGGAGCUGAAAUCAGUCGAAGAUACCAGCUGGCUGCAACUGUUUAUUAAAAACACAGCACUGUGCAAACACGAAAGUGGACGUAUACGGUGUGACGCCUGCCCGGUGCCGGAAGGUUAAUUGAUGGGGUUAGCGCAAGCGAAGCUCUUGAUCGAAGCCCCGGUAAACGGCGGCCGUAACUAUAACGGUCCUAAGGUAGCGAAAUUCCUUGUCGGGUAAGUUCCGACCUGCACGAAUGGCGUAAUGAUGGCCAGGCUGUCUCCACCCGAGACUCAGUGAAAUUGAACUCGCUGUGAAGAUGCAGUGUACCCGCGGCAAGACGGAAAGACCCCGUGAACCUUUACUAUAGCUUGACACUGAACAUUGAGCCUUGAUGUGUAGGAUAGGUGGGAGGCUUAGAAGUGUGGACGCCAGUCUGCAUGGAGCCGACCUUGAAAUACCACCCUUUAAUGUUUGAUGUUCUAACGUUGACCCGUAAUCCGGGUUGCGGACAGUGUCUGGUGGGUAGUUUGACUGGGGCGGUCUCCUCCUAAAGAGUAACGGAGGAGCACGAAGGUUGGCUAAUCCUGGUCGGACAUCAGGAGGUUAGUGCAAUGGCAUAAGCCAGCUUGACUGCGAGCGUGACGGCGCGAGCAGGUGCGAAAGCAGGUCAUAGUGAUCCGGUGGUUCUGAAUGGAAGGGCCAUCGCUCAACGGAUAAAAGGUACUCCGGGGAUAACAGGCUGAUACCGCCCAAGAGUUCAUAUCGACGGCGGUGUUUGGCACCUCGAUGUCGGCUCAUCACAUCCUGGGGCUGAAGUAGGUCCCAAGGGUAUGGCUGUUCGCCAUUUAAAGUGGUACGCGAGCUGGGUUUAGAACGUCGUGAGACAGUUCGGUCCCUAUCUGCCGUGGGCGCUGGAGAACUGAGGGGGGCUGCUCCUAGUACGAGAGGACCGGAGUGGACGCAUCACUGGUGUUCGGGUUGUCAUGCCAAUGGCACUGCCCGGUAGCUAAAUGCGGAAGAGAUAAGUGCUGAAAGCAUCUAAGCACGAAACUUGCCCCGAGAUGAGUUCUCCCUGACCCUUUAAGGGUCCUGAAGGAACGUUGAAGACGACGACGUUGAUAGGCCGGGUGUGUAAGCGCAGCGAUGCGUUGAGCUAACCGGUACUAAUGAACCGUGAGGCUUAACCUU
This 2902-nucleotide ribosomal RNA is filed under the name Escherichia coli KTE233. Its description in RNAcentral is "bacterial LSU rRNA". It matches the Rfam family "Bacterial large subunit ribosomal RNA". The record is from RNAcentral. Lineage: Bacteria; Pseudomonadati; Pseudomonadota; Gammaproteobacteria; Enterobacterales; Enterobacteriaceae.